This is a non-coding RNA of Arachis ipaensis, 2384 nucleotides long. Lineage: Eukaryota; Viridiplantae; Streptophyta; Magnoliopsida; Fabales; Fabaceae. The record is from RefSeq and is a predicted model, not a curated record.
UAAUUAAAAUUUCUAAACCCCCCUCCAAACAAACCCUAAAGCUAUCACCCGUUGCUGUGUGAGAGAGAAGAUCUCGUCAAAUCCAAAAUGAUUAUCAAGCUUCAACCCUAAAGCUCACAGCUAUCGCCGCCUCCAUCGCCACCGCUAUCACCACCACUAUAUCCAUUCGUGUCCUUGCCGCCACCGCAUGCUUCGAUAAUCUCUUUUUGCGUUGUCUCCUCCGUCGAUGCAUCAUCUCCUUUGGUCGCGACACGAGAAAGUGUUCGAUGAUAUCCUCAUAAAAGUUCAAGAUAUUUAGUUUGAUUGUGUUAGAUGGAAGAGCCUGUCGUAGUUAACAAAGGCAAGGAGCCGCUGGAUUUGCCACCAGGUUUCGGAUUCCACCCAACAGAUGAAGAAAUCAUCACUUAUUACCUCACCGAGAAGGUCAUGAACAGCAGCUUCAGUGCAACUGCCAUAGGUGAAGCCGAUUUGAACAAAUCCGAACCCUGGGAUUUACCAAAGAAAGCAAAGAUGGGAGAGAAGGAGUGGUACUUCUUUUGUCAGAAAGGUUGCAGAAUUGUGAGAAAAAAUCUGCGAUAUUGCUCGGGACUCGAAUGGAGUAGUUCCUGCGUCAGACUUUCCUUACAGUUGUCAGAAAAUCUGGGAAAUGAUUAAGGCAGACAAGGACCUUGAUCUUCCUUCUCAUAAGGUAAACCUCAGAUGGUUCAUUAUGGUUCCUAACAUAUGAAAGCAGUAUUGAACUAUUGUUAAUUCUCGUGUCUUGUCUCGUGUGCACAAAAUUAAUUCUUGCAAAAUAUAUUAGCAAAUUUUCUUUCAAGGACUAAUCUCUGUUGAAGCUUUAUCGCUUGAUCAACUUGUAGAUUAUGCUUGCUACUGUUCGAUAUGAAGAAAUUUUUCGGGAAAAGUAUAAAGCUGCAAAGGAGGUAUUAAGAGCACUUGAAAAAAAGGGGACUCUUAUUUAACUGAAUUAAUUGAUUGAUUUUAUUCAAUCUACGAACAUAAGACAAGGGGUGAUUAUCGAAAAAUUUAGUUAAUUAAAACCUCUUUUAUGUAGUACAACCAUAUACCGUUUAUAUAAUUCAUUGAAAACUUUGUAUAUAUUUGGAUUAUUUCAUUUUGGUUAAGAUAAGUUUACGGAGAUGUUCUUAUGCCUAAUGUCAAUUUUGAACAAAAAGGAAGAAUUGAAAGAAAUAAAACCAUUUAUAACAAAGAGGCUAUAAUUGUCCCAUUAUGUGAUAUUGAAAUAUCUAUUAUGUGCAAUCCAAAUUAUAAAUUAAUCAUUUAAACUCUACAUUAUUGUGCAAUAAGUCUAAUCUAAUAGAUGUACAUCUAUUCAUUCAUGUUUGAUUACAUUAUUACAUGCUAACCAUAUGUAUGAUAAUUUAAUUUUGUUGAUGCAAUUUCAUUAUGGAAUGAUAAUAUAAAGCUGAUUGAUUUCUUUCUCUUAAUAAAGUGACACAGUUUUGAUUGCCUACACUAUUCAACUUCAUUGUGAAUGUCUUAGAAGGUGAAUCAUAAUUUUCUUUAGAAUGUUAGUGGAAUCAUAAAGCCCAGAAGGUGAAUGAUUAUUUUAUUAUUAUUUUCUUUUGUUCUCUUUCUAUAUUUUUUUAUUUAUUUUGUUAUUGCUAAAAAUACACCCACGAGAAUCAUAUAAAACUUUAUUUAUUUAUUUAUUAUUAUUUUGUUGCUGGUAUAAUGAUGAGGUUUGUUUUGUAGAAUGACUCUGGAUGUGUUUGGGAAACUCGUUAGAAGGGAAGAAGCUCAGGGAAGACCACAUUGCUAUUAGCCUUGAUUGACAUUUUGUUGGAAAACUUGGCAAAGAUUUAAAAAAAUCAGGGAGAGUAACAUACAAUGGGCAUGGAGUAGAAGAGUUUGUGGCACAGAGAAGUUCAGCGUAUAUUGGCUCAUGGGCAAGUGAUAGAGAAGAAAUUAAUCUCCAUGGUUCGUGAAAUUUAAAAGCUUUGUGCUGAGAUUGCAAGUGCAGAAAAAAGGCAAUGUGCACCUGCCAAUCUAGGUGGUGAUAAUAAACGUAAAGUUCUCAACUCUUGGAAUGGCACCUCAUCUUGAAAAGGUAUUGUUGUUUGGAGUAAUGGCUAUAGAGAUUAAAAGAAAGGCUCCUCAUUGUAACAGAAAUUUCUGAAUAAUCUUGUUUUAGCUUUAAAAGCUACUGCCACAGCUAGUGUAAGCAUUAGAACUUGUUAACUGCAUUGUUAGUUUGUCAUUACUUCUGGAUGAUAAUGAUAUGGCUAGAAGUUAAGAUCUAUUUGCAUUAUUUGUAAAUACAUUUAUCUAGUUAUGUUUAUUGUUUAGGAGUUUGGACAUAAGUCUGUAUUUUAUCAUGUUAUUUUUAAUAUUUUGUAGUUAUAAUUAAUGUGAUUGAAAAA